RNAcentral lists this transfer RNA (87 nucleotides) under Geobacteraceae bacterium. RNAcentral describes it as "tRNA-Leu". It matches the Rfam family "tRNA". Rfam says of the family: Transfer RNA (tRNA) molecules are approximately 80 nucleotides in length. Their secondary structure includes four short double-helical elements and three loops (D, anti-codon, and T loops). RNAcentral also lists the same sequence under 1 other name. The record is from RNAcentral. Lineage: Bacteria; Pseudomonadati; Thermodesulfobacteriota; Desulfuromonadia; Geobacterales; Geobacteraceae.
GCCGGAGUGGUGAAAUUGGUAGACGCACUGGACUCAAAAUCCAGCAGGGGCAACCCUAUGCCGGUUCGACCCCGGCCUCCGGCACCA